GGAGAGGUGCGAGAGCUGGUUGAAUCGGCCGGUCUCGAAAACCGGUAGGUCAUUUUUGGCCUCCUGGGUUCGAAUCCCAGCCUCUCCG
RNAcentral lists this transfer RNA (88 nucleotides) under Candidatus Omnitrophota bacterium. Its description in RNAcentral is "Candidatus Omnitrophica bacterium tRNA-Ser". It matches the Rfam family "tRNA". Rfam says of the family: Transfer RNA (tRNA) molecules are approximately 80 nucleotides in length. Their secondary structure includes four short double-helical elements and three loops (D, anti-codon, and T loops). Further hydrogen bonds mediate the characteristic L-shaped molecular structure. tRNAs have two regions of fundamental functional importance: the anti-codon, which is responsible for specific mRNA codon recognition, and the 3' end, to which the tRNAs corresponding amino acid is attached (by aminoacyl-tRNA synthetases). tRNAs cope with the degeneracy of the genetic code in two manners: having more than one tRNA (with a specific anti-codon) for a particular amino acid; and 'wobble' base-pairing, i.e. permitting non-standard base-pairing at the 3rd anti-codon position. The record is from RNAcentral. Lineage: Bacteria; Pseudomonadati; Candidatus Omnitrophota.